Molecule: ribosomal RNA, 477 nt
Filed under: uncultured bacterium
Lineage: Bacteria
Description: partial 16S ribosomal RNA
Rfam family: Bacterial small subunit ribosomal RNA
Source: RNAcentral
AAUAAACGCUGGCGGCGUGCCUAACACAUGCAAGUCGAGCGAAAAAGCUCCUUCGGGAGUGAGUACAGCGGCGAACGGGUGAGCAACGCGUGGGAAUCUACCCUUCAGUGAAGAAUACCCUUGAGAAAUCGAGGUUAAUACUGCAUACGUCCUGUAAAGGAGAAAGAUGGCCUCUUUGCUGUCGUUGAAGGAUGAGCCUGCGUACUAUUAGCUAGUUGGUAGGGUAACGGCCUACCAAGGCUUUGACGGGUAGCCGGCCUGAGAGGGUGACCGGCCACAUUGGGACUGAGAUACGGCCCAGACUCCUACGGGAGGCAGCAGUGGGGAAUAUUGCACAAUGGGCGGAAGCCUGAUGCAGCAACGCCGCGUGCGGGAUGACGGCCUUCGGGUUGUAAACCGCUUUCGCCUGUGACGAAGCGUGAGUGACGGUAAUGGGUAAAGAAGCAUCGGCUAACUACGUGCCAGCCGCCGCCGUAA